AUGUAUUUAUUCAUGAGAGACACACAGAAAGAGGCAGAGACACAGGCAGAGGGAGAAGCAGCUCCCUGCCGGGAGCCUGACGGGGGACUCGAUCCCGGGACCCCAGGAUCAUGCCCUGAGCUGAAGGCAGACCCUCAACCACUGAGCCACCCAGGGACGCCCCUCUGCCCUUUUCUACUCCUGUGACUUGGGACAGACCAUGUGGCUUUUCCAUCCAGAGGUAAAGUUUAGUUUUGCCUUUUGAUGUCCUUUUUAUUUUAAUUGUUUUUUUCUUUCUUCAUGUCAAUUUUAGGAUUCAAAAUAAUUUCUUUCUGAGUUACAAACGAUGGAGGAUGGAAGCGAAAGAUGCUCUCCCUUGCUUGGAUUUCUUCAAAUCACCUUGCUUUGCUUUGGGGCGGGGAGGGGGCUCAGCCUUCCUCACACACCCUGAGAUCCGGGCUCCCUCCAGGAUGAGGCAUGUUUCCUGGGCCUCUGUUGCCAUCUGCAGGAUCAUUUGGGGCUUGGAGCCGGAGACCUGCUGGCGCAGCGUGAAAUGCUUCUCCAGGGAAGAGCGCGGCUCCGAGGACAAGUCGCCCGUGGGCACUGGUGACCAAGGCAGAAAUCUGUCCCUGGACUUCACGCCCAGCCUCAACGGGCUGCCAGUGGAGUCGGAAGAGGGCGCAUUGCUCACCCGCGGCAGACAGACAGGAGCUAGCUAGGAAGCGCUUUCCUUGUGCCCAGCAAGGGCCUAAGUCCACCUUCUUGCUCUCAGCCGUGAUACGAGCUGGUAACGAAUGGAUAAUUCUCCAGGUCAUGUUGUUCUGGGAACGUGUAAGCAAACAAGCUAGCAGGCCAGGACACUUGACGAACUGCUAAUCAGAGGGUCAACUCGACCGUGAGUUCCCGGAGGUUGGUUUCCGCAUCCUCAUCUCCGUUUUAUCUCUGCCGACCGAGACACUGAGACUCUCACCGGCAGCUUCUGGGCAGUGGUUACACAGACCUCGAGGCCGAAGCGAGCAAGAUGCAGCUCAGGCUGCCAGCGGAGCCAAAGUCCUGGGUCCUUCCCAAAGGAAGAUGGACUUUCUCAGAGAUGGGUCUGAGCAAGGGACAAUACAAGUGUUCCAUCUGGACCGUUUUUGCUGUCAACCAGCCAGGGCCAUGAGACUCUGCAAGAUGACCCGAGCUCAUUCUUUCUCUGAUGGAGCCCGGCUCCCCACAUUUUCAGGGACCACACAGUGUUUAGAAUCAAUGCUGCUCAUUCAUUUUUCUGGAGAUAAGUCCUCCAGUGCUUUGAAAUCAAAUGACCCAAAGUAGGCUGGAAAUAUAGCAGGAAGCCAGGAGUUAAGCACCUGUCCACAAUGAUGGGGGUUUCUCCUUAGGGGGUUUGGCAGGUAGACCCCUGUUUCACAACCUCACCUCUAGUCAGAGUGGCUGAGUAUAUUUGUAAAUCUGAGUCCCUUCUUAGUUAAGUUUUUUUUUUUCUUUUGGUAAUGAGUUUGCAAUUUCCCUUCUCAAAAUGGAGACUUCUUUUGAAACCCUUUGCCCAUUUAAAAUUGUUUUGACAGUAAAAAACAUAAAAUGUCAUGUGGGAAAGAUUGCAUUCAUGAUCCUUUCAAAAAGAUAAACUCUGACUUGAUAUGACAACAACAACAAUUGGUGAGAAUGUCCUUCUUAGGCACUUUCGUGAGACCUGUACAUAUUCAGGAUGUGUGCUGUCCAUCGGCGUUUCUCCCCCUCUCUCCAGCCAUAGUCUGUAAGGUGUACAGUACAAGCACACAGCUGUAUUUUUGGUCUACUCUUUGUGCAUAGUGGACAUGAAACGUCCAACAAAUGAAUAAAAAGUAGAAACUCUAAGGGCA
Molecule: long non-coding RNA, 1838 nt
Filed under: Vulpes vulpes (red fox)
Lineage: Eukaryota; Metazoa; Chordata; Mammalia; Carnivora; Canidae
Description: lncRNA (ENSVVUG00000011664.1)
Source: RNAcentral